UCCCUGGAGGACUAGUGGUUAGGCCUUGGUGCGCUUGAUGCCACGGCCCAGGUUCGAUUCCCUGUCAGGGAA
Molecule: non-coding RNA, 72 nt
Organism: Pangasius djambal
Lineage: Eukaryota; Metazoa; Chordata; Actinopteri; Siluriformes; Pangasiidae
Source: the annotation of a GenBank genome assembly